This 301-nucleotide ribosomal RNA is filed under the name uncultured bacterium. Its description in RNAcentral is "partial 16S ribosomal RNA". It matches the Rfam family "Bacterial small subunit ribosomal RNA", at positions 509 to 807 of the family's 1533-position model. The record is from RNAcentral.
CAGCAGCCGCGGUAAUACAGAGGGUGCAAGCGUUAAUCGGAAUUACUGGGCGUAAAGGGCGCGUAGGCGGUUUGGCAAGUUUGGUGUGAAAUCUUCGGGCUCAACUCGAAGUCUGCAUCGAAAACUGCCGGGCUUGAGUGUGGGAGAGGUGAGUGGAAUUUCCGGUGUAGCGGUGAAAUGCGUAGAUAUCGGAAGGAACACCUGUGGCGAAAGCGGCUCACUGGACCACAACUGACGCUGAGGCGCGAAAGCUAGGGGAGCAAACAGGAUUAGAUACCCCUGUAGUCCCUGUCUCUUAUAC